UACGAAGGGGGCGAGCGUUGUUCGGAUUUACUGGGCGUAAAGGGCGCGUAGGCGGCCAGCACAAGUCAGUUGUGAAAUCUCCGAGCUUAACUCGGAACGGUCAACUGAUACUGUGCGGCUAGAGUGCAGAAGGGGCAACUGGAAUUCUUGGUGUAGCGGUGAAAUGCGUAGAUAUCAAGAGGAACACCUGCGGCGAAGGCGGGUUGCUGGGCUGACACUGACGCUGAGGCGCGAAAGCUAGGGGAGCGAACGGG
RNAcentral lists this ribosomal RNA (254 nucleotides) under uncultured bacterium. RNAcentral describes it as "partial 16S ribosomal RNA". It matches the Rfam family "Bacterial small subunit ribosomal RNA", at positions 524 to 776 of the family's 1533-position model. The record is from RNAcentral.